GCCACAUCCCAUAUGAUCACCAAAGUUAAGCAAUGUUGAACCUGGUCAGUACCUAGAUGGAUGACUGUUUGGGAAUGCCAGGUGCUAUA
Acanthosepion pharaonis is the source of this 89-nucleotide non-coding RNA. The record is from the annotation of a GenBank genome assembly. NCBI's taxonomy places the organism in Eukaryota, Metazoa, Mollusca, Cephalopoda, Sepiida, Sepiidae.